AUCAAUUUUAUUAUGACAAAUGGAACUUUUUACAUUGGAAUGUAAAGCAACAAGAUUAAGAUCAGAAGAACAAACAGGAGUACAAGAAUCUUUAUUGGAGCAUACAGAAGUGGAAGAAGAACAAUGAACAGAAGAAGAUGAAGGGGGCAUCCAAGCAAAUUUGUACAAACCAGCCGCCUCUUUACCAAGAUCCAGAGGCAUCUUCAGAGAAGGGGCUUGUAACAUGUGAAGAAAACAAGAAGUUGCAGUAAAUAGGACAAUACAGUGCAACUGUUUCACUAGCUUGUGGACAGAAAUUAAAUUGUGUUUGAAAGAUGGAACAAACAGUACAUUAUGAAGAGUAAUGGAGGGAGUUAAAGCAAAAGAGCCAGUUGAAGUCACUUUUACUUUGUAUCCAUUAGGAAGAGUUACAAGAUAAGGUACAAGUAAAUGUGUGAUAUUGAAGAGUAAGUCCUUAUUAAAUGUCAUGUGAUCAGAAGCUCUUGAAUCUAUUAUCCAGGAGACAUAAUCAAUAUGAGUAAGUAGACAGAAUUUGGAAUCAGAAACAGGACUCUCAGUAAGCAUAGUACCAGCAAAGUUGGCAGCACACAUAGUAGGAGAGGUCUGAGCAGUGGAGUCACCCAACUUGGACUGUUGCAGCAGGUUUAUCAAUUGAUCCACACAUAGUAGGAGAGGUCUGAGCAGGAGAAGUUUGAGCAGUGGAGUCACCCAAUUUGGACUAUUGCAGCAGAUUCAUCAAUUGAUCAUAAUGUUGUCUGCUCAAUCCAGGAAUUGCAGAACCAUGUCCAUCUACAUGUUGGACAGAUGAAUAACCCUCAAUAUGAUUUCCAGAAGGAUGAGAAUUGUGGCCAUCAGAAGAAGUAGAGGAGGUCAAAUCAACACCAGUGGUGACAUGGGCAGUAGUAGGUCUCUUCCCUUUGUUAAACCUGAUGCUUUGAAGAAAUCCAUGAAGUUUGUAACACUUAUCAAUUAAGUGCCCAGACCUCUUGCAAUAUCUACAGAAGAGAGGUCCUCUGGACUGAUCAAAAGUAACUCUCUGGGCAUACUGUCUGAGAGGAGGAGAAUUGGGCAAGGUAGCUUGACUGAAAGAAGGUGUAGAAGGUUUAUGUGUGUUGACACUGAAGGACAUCGAGUCAGGAUUGAACUGGGAGACAGACUGAACUUGUCUCUGUUUUUCAUAAUUGAGGAGAAUGUUAUAGACACUGUCAAGACUAGGAGGAGGUUGCAUCAUUAACAAGUUGCUCCUUACCCCCAU
This 1255-nucleotide long non-coding RNA is filed under the name Nicotiana benthamiana. Its description in RNAcentral is "long non-coding RNA (NBEN_LNC027063)". The record is from RNAcentral. Lineage: Eukaryota; Viridiplantae; Streptophyta; Magnoliopsida; Solanales; Solanaceae.